AUUUGAAUUAAGCAAAUAUCAUGGUCGGAAACAUAAAUGACAGGUAGUUCCUCAUAGAAGUGCUUCGGAAUUUAUUGUUCCGAUUCUUCUAUGAGUUUUUUUUCGAUCUGCUAUUUGUAAUUUCCACGUUUUACGUGCAAGAUUUAGGAGGAAACAGAACAUGCAAAAUGGUACAGUGAAAUGGUUCAAUGCAGAAAAAGGUUACGGUUUCAUUCAAGUCGAGGGUGGAAACGAUGUGUUCGUACACUUCUCUGCUAUCCAGGAAGAAGGUUUUAAGUCUCUUGAAGAAGGUCAAGCCGUUACUUUUGAAAUCGUAGAAGGCGACCGCGGCCCACAAGCUGCGAACGUUGUGAAAGAAUAAAAUGCAUGCUCAAAAGCAACCUCCUCGGAGGUUGCUUUUUCU
This is a regulatory RNA element of Halobacillus karajensis, 403 nucleotides long. It matches the Rfam family "cspA thermoregulator". NCBI's taxonomy places the organism in Bacteria, Bacillati, Bacillota, Bacilli, Caryophanales, Bacillaceae. The record is from Rfam.